AUUGAACGCUGGCGGCAUGCUUUACACAUGCAAGUCGAACGGUAACAGGCCUUCGGGUGCUGACGAGUGGCGAACGGGUGAGUAAUGCAUCGGAACGUACCCAGAGGUGGGGGAUAACGCAGCGAAAGCUGUGCUAAUACCGCAUGUGAUCUGAGGAUGAAAGCGGGGAACCGCGCAGCAAUGUUUGGCCUCGCGCCUUUGGAGCGGCCGAUGUCGGAUUAGCUAGUUGGUGGGGUAAAGGCCUACCAAGGCGACGAUCCGUAGCUGGUCUGAGAGGACGAACAGACACACUGGGACUGAGAAACGGCCCAGACUCCUACGGGAGGCAGCAGUGGGGAAUUUUGGACAAUGGGCGCAAGCCUGAUCCAGCAAUGCCGCGUGCGGGAAGAAGGCCUUCGGGUUGUAAACCGCUUUUGGCAGGAACGAAACGGUGUCCGCUAAUACCGGGCGCUAAUGACGGUACCUGCAGAAUAAGCACCGGCUAACUACGUG
RNAcentral lists this ribosomal RNA (492 nucleotides) under uncultured bacterium. RNAcentral's name for it is "partial 16S ribosomal RNA". It matches the Rfam family "Bacterial small subunit ribosomal RNA", at positions 29 to 507 of the family's 1533-position model. The record is from RNAcentral.